GAGGCUUUAUCUUAAUAAAAGUAUCUGAGUUGCAUUCAGAAGAUAUAGGUUAAUAUCCUAUAAGUCUUA
This 69-nucleotide transfer RNA is filed under the name Osteocephalus aff. subtilis DO-2022. RNAcentral describes it as "tRNA-Ala". It matches the Rfam family "tRNA". Rfam says of the family: Transfer RNA (tRNA) molecules are approximately 80 nucleotides in length. Their secondary structure includes four short double-helical elements and three loops (D, anti-codon, and T loops). Further hydrogen bonds mediate the characteristic L-shaped molecular structure. tRNAs have two regions of fundamental functional importance: the anti-codon, which is responsible for specific mRNA codon recognition, and the 3' end, to which the tRNAs corresponding amino acid is attached (by aminoacyl-tRNA synthetases). tRNAs cope with the degeneracy of the genetic code in two manners: having more than one tRNA (with a specific anti-codon) for a particular amino acid; and 'wobble' base-pairing, i.e. permitting non-standard base-pairing at the 3rd anti-codon position. Lineage: Eukaryota; Metazoa; Chordata; Amphibia; Anura; Hylidae. The record is from RNAcentral.